RNAcentral lists this ribosomal RNA (453 nucleotides) under uncultured bacterium. RNAcentral's name for it is "bacterial SSU rRNA". It matches the Rfam family "Bacterial small subunit ribosomal RNA", at positions 340 to 786 of the family's 1533-position model. The record is from RNAcentral.
UACGGAAGGCAGCAGUGGGGAAUAUUGCACAAUGGGCGAAGCCUGAUGCAGCUAUGCCGCGUGUAUGAAGAAGGCCUUAGGGUUGUAAAGUACUUUCAUCGGGGAGGAAAAACAAAACUAAUAAUUUUAUUUCUUGACGUUACCCGAAAAAGAAGCACCGGCUAACUCCGUGCCAGCAGCCGCGGUAAUACGGAGGGUGCUAGCGUUAAUCAGAAUUACUGGGCGUAAAGAGCACGUAGGUGGUUUUUUUAAGUCAGAUGUGAAAUCCCUGGGCUUAACCUAGGAACUGCAUUUUGAAACUGAAAUACUAGAGUAUCGUAGAGGGAGGUAGAAUUCUAGGUGUAGCGGUGAAAUGCGUAGAUAUCUGGAGGAAUACCUGUGGCGAAAGCGGCCUCCUAAACGAAUACUGACACUGAGGUGCGAAAGCGUGGGGAGCAAACAGGAUUAGAUACC